Small nucleolar RNA from Impatiens glandulifera, 88 nucleotides. RefSeq annotates it as small nucleolar RNA snoR117. The record is from RefSeq and is a predicted model, not a curated record. The transcript has a single exon. NCBI's taxonomy places the organism in Eukaryota, Viridiplantae, Streptophyta, Magnoliopsida, Ericales, Balsaminaceae.
GGCCUGUGAUGUAUGAUAUUGUCCGUACCAUCUGAAUGCCUAUGGCUUCUUUUGACGAUAACCAUGUAUCCUUAAUCUACUGAGGCCU